Molecule: ribosomal RNA, 489 nt
Filed under: uncultured bacterium
Lineage: Bacteria
Description: bacterial SSU rRNA
Rfam family: Bacterial small subunit ribosomal RNA
Source: RNAcentral
GCCUAACACAUGCAAGUCGGACGGUAGCACAGAGGAGCUUGCUCCUCGGGUGACGAGUGGCGGACGGGUGAGUAAUGUCUGGGGAUCUGCCCGAUAGAGGGGGAUAACCACUGGAAACGGUGGCUAAUACCGCAUAACGUCGCAAGACCAAAGAGGGGGACCUUCGGGCCUCUCACUAUCGGAUGAACCCAGAUGGGAUUAGCUAGUAGGCGGGGUAACGGCCCACCUAGGCGACGAUCCCUAGCUGGUCUGAGAGGAUGACCAGCCACACUGGAACUGAGACACGGUCCAGACUCCUACGGGAGGCAGCAGUGGGGAAUAUUGCACAAUGGGCGCAAGCCUGAUGCAGCCAUGCCGCGUGUAUGAAGAAGGCCUUCGGGUUGUAAAGUACUUUCAGCGGGGAGGAAGGCAUUGCGGUUAAUAACCGCAGUGAUUGACGUUACCCGCAGAAGAAGCACCGGCUAACUCCGUGCCAGCAGCCGCGGUAAU